AGCUCGACACCUACGAGAGGCAGCAGUGGGGAAUAUUGCACAAUGGGGGAAACCCUGAUGCAGCAACGCCGCGUGAAGGAAGACGGUUUUCGGAUUGUAAACUUCUGUUCUUAGUGAAGAUAGUGACGGUAGCUAAGGAGCAAGCCACGGCUAACUACGUGCCAGCAGCCGCGGUAAUCUGAGCGGGCUGGCAAGGC
RNAcentral lists this ribosomal RNA (197 nucleotides) under uncultured bacterium. RNAcentral describes it as "partial 16S ribosomal RNA". It matches the Rfam family "Bacterial small subunit ribosomal RNA", at positions 329 to 539 of the family's 1533-position model. The record is from RNAcentral.